Molecule: ribosomal RNA, 1413 nt
Filed under: Triticum aestivum (bread wheat)
Lineage: Eukaryota; Viridiplantae; Streptophyta; Magnoliopsida; Poales; Poaceae
Description: partial small subunit ribosomal RNA
Source: RNAcentral
AUGUCUCAGUUCAACUACUGCCCAUCUGCCGACGACAUCCACGAGGCCGGUAACAAGGCUCCCAUGAACGAUUCCCUCGAAGAUAGCAUCCACGAGGACGCCGGCAACAACGCUCCCAUGAACGAUUCCCUCGACGACACGAAGGCUCUCAUGAAGGCGGCCGUCGCCGGAGACCUCGAUUCCCUCAAAGAUAUUGUACAGAGCCUUACCAAAGGAAGUGGUGACCCAUCGGCGAUUUUUUCUUUCAACAUCGACGGAGUUUCUGUGUUGCACGCCGCGGCAAUGUUUGCCCAACUGGAGGUUAGCAAGUAUUUGGUGGAGGAGCUGAAGGGAGAUGUGAAUGCUCCGGGAUAUGGAGCUGGUGCUGAUGGUAUGACUCCAUUUAUAGUGUCUGCUCGGUCCGGUGAUGUUGCUACUGUUAAGUAUUUUCUUGAUCGUGGUGGCGAUUUAAUGAAAGCAGAUGACAAAGGACGCACCGUUCUUCACCAUGCUGCCGCUAAAGGACACUGCAUGGUAACAAAGUUUCUCCUCUCAGAAGGAGUUCCAGUCGACAUCAACUAUGGUCGUGGAACACCACUCUUUGUGGCUGCUGAAAGUGGGGAGGAUAAGACAUUGGAGAUUUUGUUGGACCACGGCGCAGAUCCUAAUACCAAUGCCCAUUGUUUGGGAAGUCCCUUCUUUAUGGCUCUUACUAAGCAUUCAUUCAAAUGCAUGGAGACACUCGUUAAGGCUGGUGCCGAUGUUAAUUGGAAGACUUUCGGUCUCACUCCUUUGGGGUUUGCUACGGCGCGAGGAGGUUAUACCAACUUCAUUCGGUUCCUCUUGGAUGUUGGAGCAGAUGCUAAUAUUUCUGAUGAUUUGGGUUGGUUGCCAGUACAGCUUGCUGCGGCACGUGAUUGCAAUGAAGAGGUUGAAAUGUUGUUUCCUUUGACUUCCCCAAUUCCAAAUGUCCCAAACUGGACUAUUGAGGGUGUAAUUUCUCAUGCAAAGAUUGAAGCCAAAAAGCCACUGGACCAAAAGGCUUGCCAAAGAAGAAAAAGUUUCUUAAAGUUAGAAGCUGAUAUAGCAUUCAAGCAGAAGGACUAUAAGCUGGCAUCAGAGUUGUAUGACAUGGCAAUAAGUCAUGGAGAAAGUGCAGCACUGUACGCGAACAGGAGUCUUACUAAACUGCUAAUGGGUGAUGGUGAAGGUGCUUUGUCAGAUGCUCUCUGGUGUAGAGUGUUGCGACCUCAUUGGGCAAAAGCUUUCUAUCGUGAAGGUGCAGCUCUCAUGCUACUCGAGGAGUAUGAACAAGCCUAUGAUGCUCUGUUGGAUGCACAAAACUUGGAUCCUGAGAGUGCUGAGAUUGAACGUGAACUACGGAAAGCUAGGGAACUCAUGAAGAAUAUUCCUGGAGAACGUGAGCAUGUGUGA